Long non-coding RNA from Physeter macrocephalus (sperm whale), 969 nucleotides. RefSeq lists it as uncharacterized. The record is from RefSeq and is a predicted model, not a curated record. NCBI's taxonomy places the organism in Eukaryota, Metazoa, Chordata, Mammalia, Artiodactyla, Physeteridae. The transcript has 3 exons.
UGUUGCCUAUCAGCUUAAAUUAUACAUAAUGGCCCAUCUCUGGGAACCCUGCCUCCCAGGUAAUGAGCAUCAAGCUAAAAUACCUCUGUUUAGCUCACAAGAAACAUGCUGACCAGGCCCACCUGUGAAUGACUACAGGAAGGAAGAAAUGAACACAUCCCCUCCGGAGGCUGACCGGAACCAGGAAAUGUUUGACUUUACUCCCUCCUCUUUUAGUAUAAAAGAAGCCUGAAUUCUAACUCAGGCGAGAUGGUUCUUUGGGACACGAGUCCACGGUCUGCUGGCUUUCUGAAUAAAGUUGCUACUCCUUGCCCCAACAAUUUGUCUCUCAAUUUAUUGGCCUGUUGUGUAGUGGGCAGUACAAGUUCGGACUCGGUAACAUCUUUCUGCAUACUUUUCUCCACGGUUUCUCCAUUCUUUUUUCUUUAUUGCAGCUAUGAUGGUUUGCCAGAGACGGAGGUCAGUGUAGCAGAGGGAUGGGCACACAGGCUCUUGAGUCAGACAGCCCUGAGUUCAAAUCCUGCAUCCCCAGCUGUAGUCGAGGGAAGCAGUGGCCGAGGACCCAGCUACACACAUUUCUUCAGCUUCCAGAUGGCCUGUGACUGGAGGAAACAACGAUGGGGGUCCCACGUGGAUCCAUCUCUCAACUGUAAAACAGAAACACACCAGCGAAGCCGACUUGAAAAGGUUUACGAAGGAACCAGGCUUACUGGAGCAUCUCCUCAGCUCUCAAGUGGUACCCAGCAGUAAGAAGUGGAUCUGAGUCCUCACCACCAGCAGAGGUCAGUUUCCCACAGGUGUCCAAGAGGCAGGUCUUGAAAUCAUCUUGUAGCUGCGAGACCACAGGUCACCUCUUCUUCGAUGUUGUUUUGUGAUUACUGCUUGAGAGAGAGACAAAAGAGAGAGACUGACAGAUGGGUGUGUGGGGACAAGAGAGACAGAGAGAGAGAGAGAACGCACUAAGGAAGG